This 76-nucleotide transfer RNA is filed under the name Candidatus Yonathbacteria bacterium RIFOXYC1_FULL_52_10. RNAcentral's name for it is "tRNA-Val". It matches the Rfam family "tRNA". From Rfam's summary of the family: Transfer RNA (tRNA) molecules are approximately 80 nucleotides in length. Their secondary structure includes four short double-helical elements and three loops (D, anti-codon, and T loops). Lineage: Bacteria; Candidatus Yonathiibacteriota. RNAcentral also lists the same sequence under 1 other name. The record is from RNAcentral.
GGGCGAUUAGCUCAGUUGGUAGAGCAACCCAUUUACACUGGGAAGGUCGCAGGUUCAAGUCCUGCAUCGCCCACAA